Triticum aestivum (bread wheat) is the source of this 115-nucleotide non-coding RNA. The record is from Rfam. Lineage: Eukaryota; Viridiplantae; Streptophyta; Magnoliopsida; Poales; Poaceae.
GAUCUACCCCCUCCGUUCGGAAUUACUUGUCGCAGAAAUGGAUGUAUCUAAACAUAUUUUAGUUCUAGAUACAUCCAUUUCCGAGACAAGUAAUUCCGAACGGAGGGAGUACCUU